This 464-nucleotide long non-coding RNA is filed under the name Anser brachyrhynchus (Pink-footed goose). Its description in RNAcentral is "lncRNA (ENSABRG00000023163.1)". Lineage: Eukaryota; Metazoa; Chordata; Aves; Anseriformes; Anatidae. The record is from RNAcentral.
CUACAUUACUUGGAGAAUUGGAGGCUCCAUCUUCUUUCCAAACUAUAGCUGAAAACUGAAUUCACAGUGAGUAAAUUCAGGAGCUGAUUGCUGCUGGGCAGUGUUGGGAGUUUGCUCCUCCAAGGCAAUCAGUAGAUCCAGCUCACAAGGAAGACUAAAAAUAUCCAUUUUACAGCUGGAGAGGAAGCAGAACCACAGCAAUGUGAAAUGAUUUGCCUAAGACCACGCUGUGUUUCUUCAGCAGACAUAAGGAUAUGAAUUCUAAUUUCUUGGUUCUCAGGCUAGUUCUAGUCCCCAUUCUUAUCCUCACAUCUUAAGUAAUCAUUUCUCUAUGCUUUUACAGAUUUUCUUCUGUACACAGCAAUAAGUGCGUGCAAGCAUUUAAGUGACUCCCUAAUCUUUGAGUUCAGGGGGGGCGGUGGAACAUGCUUGAAAUAAAAACCAAAGUCAUUUUUUGAAAACCA